GCGGAUGUAGCUCAGUUGGUUAGAGCGCCGGAUUGUGGAUCCGGAUGUCGAGGGUUCAACUCCCUCCAUUCGCCCCA
This 77-nucleotide transfer RNA is filed under the name Desulfovibrio sp. Its description in RNAcentral is "tRNA-His". It matches the Rfam family "tRNA". Rfam says of the family: Transfer RNA (tRNA) molecules are approximately 80 nucleotides in length. The record is from RNAcentral. Lineage: Bacteria; Pseudomonadati; Thermodesulfobacteriota; Desulfovibrionia; Desulfovibrionales; Desulfovibrionaceae.